CCCUUAGAUGUUCUGGGCUGCACGCGUGCUACACUGAUAUUGCCAAUAUGUCAUUCUUAUCCGAAAUGGAUUGGGUAAUCAAGUAAUGAAAUUUCAUGCUUGGAAUCGGUAAUUGCAAUUUUAUCGUGAACGAGGAAUUCCUAGUAAGCACUAGUCAUCAGCUAAUGUUGAUUAUGUCCCUGCCCUUUGUACACACCGCCCGUCGCUACUACUGAUUGGGUGUUCAAGUGAGAUGCUUAGACCCUUGUUGCAUGGUUCAUUAUUGUGCUCCGAAAGGAAAAAGUUUCGAGCUUGAGUGUCUAGAGGAAGUAAAAGUCGUAACA
This 323-nucleotide ribosomal RNA is filed under the name uncultured eukaryote. Its description in RNAcentral is "partial 18S ribosomal RNA". It matches the Rfam family "Eukaryotic small subunit ribosomal RNA", at positions 1470 to 1796 of the family's 1831-position model. The record is from RNAcentral.